GGCGUCGACGCUUGGGACUAUUUCGCUGACUUUUAAUCAGGAGGUCAUGGGUUCGAAUCCCAUCGCGCUCACCA
This 74-nucleotide transfer RNA is filed under the name Beijerinckiaceae bacterium. RNAcentral's name for it is "tRNA-Lys". The record is from RNAcentral. Lineage: Bacteria; Pseudomonadati; Pseudomonadota; Alphaproteobacteria; Hyphomicrobiales; Beijerinckiaceae.